This 117-nucleotide ribosomal RNA is filed under the name Parcubacteria group bacterium RIFCSPHIGHO2_01_FULL_47_10b. The record is from RNAcentral.
GUUGGUGAUUCUAGCGGAGAGGGUCCACCCGAUCCCAUUCCGAACUCGGAAGUUAAGCUCUCCAGCCCCGAUGAUACUUCACUCGCAAGGGUGCGGGACAGUAGGACGUCGCCAACA